UUCUUGACUAUUAAGGCGUUUGCCAGCCGAGAGAAAGGCUUAAAAACGCACAGAACACAAGAAUGCAUUGGUUAACAGUGUUACCUAAAACUAGCACCUCAGGAAAGUACAUUUAUCCUUUUCAUGAUGGUAUCAUGGUUUGUGAAUAGUUUUCAAACCUUUUUUGUUCAAACUAAGUUUUGGUGCUUUCUUGACUAUUAAGGUGUUUGCAGGCCGAGAGAACGCCUAAAAACGCACAGAACACAAGAAUGCAUUGGUUAACAGUGUUUUCCUAAGUCUAGCACCUCAGGAAAGUACAUUUAGCCUUUUCAUGAUAGUAUCAUGGUUUGUGAAUAGUUUUCCAACCUUUUUUGUUCAAACUAAGUUUUGGUGCAUUCUUGACUAUUAAGGCGUUUUCAGGCCGAGAGACGGCUUAAAAACGCACAGAACACAAGAAUGCAUUGGUUAGCAGUGUUUUCCUAAAUCUAGCACCUCAGGAAAGUACAUUUAGCCUUUUCAUGAUGGUAUCAUGGUUUGUGAAUAGUUUUCCAACCUUUUUUGUUCAAACUAAGAUUUGUGGUGCAUUCUUGACUAUUAAGGCGUUUGCAGGCCGAGAGAAAGCUGA
Gasterosteus aculeatus aculeatus (three-spined stickleback) is the source of this 604-nucleotide long non-coding RNA. NCBI's taxonomy places the organism in Eukaryota, Metazoa, Chordata, Actinopteri, Perciformes, Gasterosteidae. The record is from Ensembl.